CCGCAUGGGGAUAUUUGCUAAAGAUUCAUCGCUGAUAGAUAGGCAUGCGUUCCAUUAGGCAGUUGGCGGGGUAACGGCCCACCAAACCGACGAUGGAUAGGGGUUCUGAGAGGAAGGUCCCCCACAUUGGUACUGAGACACGGACCAAACUCCUACGGGAGGCAGCAGUGAGGAAUAUUGGUCAAUGGGCGUAAGCCUGAACCAGCCAAGUCGCGUGAGGGAUGAAGGUUCUAUGGAUCGUAAACCUCUUUUAUAAGGGAAUAAAGUGUGGGACGUGUCCUGUUUUGUAUGUACCUUAUGAAUAAGGAUCGGCUAACUCCGUGCCGGCAGCCGCGGUAAUACGGAGGAUCCGAGCGUUAUCCGGAUUUAUUGGGUUUAAAGGGUGCGUAGGCGGCCUUUUAAGUCAGCGGUGAAAGUCUGUGGCUCAACCAUAGAAUUGCCGUUGAAACUGGGAGGCUUGAGUAUGUUUGAGGCAGGCGGAAUGCGUGGUGUAGCGGUGAAAUGCUUAGAUAUCACGCAGAACCCCGAUUGCGAAGGCAGCCUGCCAAGCCAUGACUGACGCUGAUGCACGAAAGCGUGGGGAUCAAACAGGAUUAGAUACCCUGGUAGUCCACGCAGUAAACGAUGAUCACUAGCUGUUUGCGAUACAGUGUAAGCGGCACAG
Molecule: ribosomal RNA, 664 nt
Filed under: uncultured bacterium
Lineage: Bacteria
Description: bacterial SSU rRNA
Rfam family: Bacterial small subunit ribosomal RNA
Source: RNAcentral